Molecule: long non-coding RNA, 934 nt
Organism: Heteronotia binoei (common prickly gecko)
Lineage: Eukaryota; Metazoa; Chordata; Lepidosauria; Squamata; Gekkonidae
Exons: 2
Source: RefSeq, a predicted model, not a curated record
GAACUAUGUGACAUCAUAGCCUGAAUUCCCUCCUCCACCUUUUCAAAUAGAAAAUCAGGCCAGACCUUAAAGUAUUCUAGGAAAUUUGAAAGCUUGCAUUUAGUAGUAUGUGAUUUUUUUUUCUGGUCUAAAUUUUGAUUUUUUUCAUUCCUGACAAUUAUGGUUUAUGUACAGUUUUUUUUAUUUUUUGCAUGAAGUUCCUGGAAUGUUGAUUAAGGGGUUAUCCAGGCACCAUUUCUGAUGCAUGAAAUCCUUUGGGAUGCUUCUCCCAGAGACAGGAUUAAGAAAGGUUUGAAGCACAAGAAAACCAUUUGGUGGUGCUAUCGUUACAAAAUAAGAACCUCUGUCUGCCUUAGCUUACUGACUACGGUCAGACAAGGGGUGACAACAAGAAGGAUAAAUUAUAGCAGUGGCCAACUGGUAAACAAGAAAAUCGGAGUAAAUCAGUCGUUUCAAAUCUUUCUGCAAAAAUUCCAUGUAUCAUUUUCAAAGUCUCCGCCUCUCUGUAGAAAAUAAUUCCCUCCAGUCUCGAUGGGAGUUCUUGCUGGUUGGAGUUUCAGUUCAAAAGAUCUGAUGAGCAGCUUUCUGUGCUCCAUUUUGCUCGAGGGUCUCAGCACACAAACCCCAUUUGCUCCAGAUGCCACCAAGUUUCUUGUGAAGUCAGAUGAUGCAUCACCAUGAGGUUUAUUUGUGUGUGUGUGUGUAUAAAUCGGUGCAGCAAAAUUCUCUUCUGGUCCCCAGACUACUUCCUGGAGAACAGAGUGGCCUUUCUAAAUUAUACUGAUGGAGUUCUUGCAAAGCUUUCAUUUAUUUUACUGACAAAAGACAUUCCCAGGGAUUUUGCCUCUUGUAUGAACAUUCAUAAAUGAGGAGAAGGAAUGCUUUAUACAAGUUAUCAAUACAUUUGACCAUUAAUAAACAACACCUAUCUUAA